RNAcentral lists this transfer RNA (69 nucleotides) under Chaetocnema arida. Its description in RNAcentral is "tRNA-Gln". Lineage: Eukaryota; Metazoa; Arthropoda; Insecta; Coleoptera; Chrysomelidae. The record is from RNAcentral.
UAUCCUUUAGUAUAGGUUGUACAUCAAUUUUUGAUAUUGACAGAAAUAGUUAAACUCUAUUAGGGGUAA